GGCUGUUCCUCAUGAAUACCUGUUGUAGAGGAGCUAUCCAACCUGAAAACAGGGAGAAUGUGACCUUUAAGCAACAUGAUAAGAGGAAGCAAAUCAAGAAAGGAUCUUGGGAGAACUUACAUAUCCCAGCAUGGUACUUCAAAGUACUGACGCUGUGCUUGUGAGCCUUGUAUGUUCGGAUUCGCUCCCCAGUAUCCGCCAACCAACAUUUCACUGUCCUGUCAGCACUCCCUGAAUACAAACAUCGAUUCACCAGCUAAGAGGGAAAAGACAAGAAACAAGUACUUUCAUGAGAGAGUGUCUUUGGGAGCCACAGUCAUCUUCAAACCAAGAGGAAAAGAAGACAUAAAUAACACUCAUUCUCAUAGAAUCAUAAAGUUAGAAGAGACCACAUAAGCCAUCCAGCUCAACCCCUGGCCAUGCAGGACAAGGAGUCAAAGCAACCCAACAGAUGGUCAUCAUGGCAUAAUUAUGGGAGUUAUAGUUUUGCAAGAUGUUUAACCUUCUGUGCCAAAGAGUGCUGGGGCUUCACCAAACUACAGCUCCCAUUCAUGUAGAGCAGUGGUUCCCAACCUGUGGUCUGUGGACCACCAGUGGUCCGCAAGAACUAAAAUAUGGUCCGAGGCCUCACCGUCACUACUACUGAUAAUAACACAGCCCAACCCAACUUUUUUUCUUGGUGUUUUCAUUUUAAGGCCUGUUCCUGGGGUUAUUUGGGUUGCUGAUGCAGAAAAUUGCAUUGGAUAGACCACAUCGGUUCUAGAAUAUGGUUUUUUGUGGACAAGUAGAUGUCGACUACUGGAUGGCAUAUGUUCUGCAUCAGAAACUAGAGCUGAUGUGGUCUAUCCAAUGCAGUUUUCUGAAUCGGCACCCCAAAUAACCAAAAUGAAUCUAAAAUUGACCAAAAACUGAUUCGUAACCCUUUUGGUACUAAUGUUGGAAAGUGGUCCCUGGUCAAAGUGGUCCCUGGACAAGUGGUUCCUGGUCAAAAAAGGUUGGGAACCACUGAUGUAGAGCGAUGGUAACAUAAUGACUUAGCAACUUCCCAAGUGGGGCAGGUAGCAAGCCACACUUUCUGCUGUCCAACAUACUUUAGAGCUCAUAGUAUUAACUGGAUGAAAGCAAGAAGGAACAAGGUUUUUUGCAAGAUCCUUCUUAAGGGUUUAAAAGUACGAUCAAUUUAAAUAAGCUGAGAAUUGGAACUUCCUCAGGACAAAUCACCCCCAUCCAACCUAUCAGCAAGGUAUUUCUGUACUACUUCAAUCAAUUACUAGUUUUAUCCUCCUUCAUUCUUCCAUUGAAUUUAGGUAAAUAACAGAACACACAAGUUAUCUCCCAUUAGUGUCAGAUUUUGGUAGCUUUAGCAAGGCAGUUGCAUCAUGUUCCUUCAUACCAUCCUACUGCACACAUUUUCCUAAUUCUAUUUCUACAAAUAACUCUGAACAACAAUUUCAAUAGAUGUCGAUUACACUAUGUAACAGUUUUUGUUCCUGAGCUGUGAAUGUCAUUUCCUAAUUGGAUCUACAUGUAAACAUGGAAAACGUUUCUUAAAUUGCAAAAACUUUGUUUUUGUGGGACACCCUGUAGCACAUUUUGCUAUAGAUUUCAAUUGGUGUCUCAACCAAUUCAACAUAGUUUGUGGCAGACACAAAAAUGAAGUUUCUGGAGUACAACAACUACUUUCGAAGUAAGUAUUGUACAAUUAAACAGGAAAUAACACUUUCAAACCAGGAACAGAAAAAUCAAAUUUUAUAAUGUGUUGUUGUUGUUGUUGUUGUUAUGGCAUGCACUUUGGGAGGCAACACAGAUACUCCUAGAGUGACACCUUUUAAUAUGUGGAGAGAUAAGAUACCAAUGUUGGUCCAAUAUCAGAUUAUUUGUAGGAAGAGCUGUACGUAAUUUAAAAAGCUAUGCAUUUCAUUAAAGAGAUCCUACACCAUCACUUUCUCCUA
Anolis carolinensis (green anole) is the source of this 1952-nucleotide long non-coding RNA. RefSeq lists it as uncharacterized. The transcript has 2 exons. The record is from RefSeq and is a predicted model, not a curated record. Lineage: Eukaryota; Metazoa; Chordata; Lepidosauria; Squamata; Anolidae.